This 45-nucleotide non-coding RNA is filed under the name Schistosoma mattheei. The record is from RNAcentral. Lineage: Eukaryota; Metazoa; Platyhelminthes; Trematoda; Strigeidida; Schistosomatidae.
AUCCGGCAGACGAGUCCCAACGUGGACGAAACCCGUGUCCUGGAU